AGAUACCCUAUUAUAAAAAUUUAAAUUAAUUUACUAAAAAAUUAAUAGUUAUGUUCUUUAAAUUUAAAAAAUUUGGCGGUAUUUUAGUCUUAUUAGAGGAAUCUGUUUAUUAAUUGAUAAUCCACGAUUAAUUUUACUUAUUUUAAUUAAUUCAUAUAUCGCUGUCAUGAAUAUAUUUUAAAAAAUUUAUUUUCUUUAAUUAUUUUAAUAAUUUAUGUUAAGUCAAGAUGUGGUUUAUAAAUAAGAAUAUAAUGGAUUACAUUAAAUUUUAUUUUUGGAUUUUGAAUGAAAAUUAAAAUGAAAUUG
This 306-nucleotide ribosomal RNA is filed under the name Hyalopterus sp. C JDL-2007. Its description in RNAcentral is "partial 12S ribosomal RNA". Lineage: Eukaryota; Metazoa; Arthropoda; Insecta; Hemiptera; Aphididae. The record is from RNAcentral.